UUUGUACUCCCUCCGUCCCAACAUUCUUGUCUUAAAUUUGUCUAAAUACGGAUGUAUUUAGUUACAUUUUAGUGUUAGAUACAUCCGUAUCUAAACAAAUGUAAGACAAGAAUUUUGGGAAGGAGGGAAUACUAC
Non-coding RNA from Triticum aestivum (bread wheat), 135 nucleotides. Lineage: Eukaryota; Viridiplantae; Streptophyta; Magnoliopsida; Poales; Poaceae. The record is from Rfam.